GAAUGCAGGCUGCCUGGCUAGGCCCAUCUCCUUCCCCACAAGGUCUCCUAAAUAGAUUCAGCUGACCUGACAGGCAGGCAGCUGUGACUCCCUCCCUCACAGCAUCAAAUCCAUCUCCCCACAGCUAUUUGCCUGGUUAAGGGGACAGAACCUCACUGAGGGAACCACUCUCAGAUCAAGAGUAUUGAAGUAAAUGAAAUCCCUAAGUGAACCUCCAAACAUCCAUAAUAUAAUUGAUAUAGAAAUGCCCAGGACCACUGAAAACACUAUAGAGUCAACACUGAACUGACAAAAACAAAUGUUUCUUUCUCUG
This 313-nucleotide small nuclear RNA is filed under the name Tursiops truncatus (common bottlenose dolphin). RNAcentral's name for it is "7SK RNA (ENSTTRG00000025087.1)". It matches the Rfam family "7SK RNA". From Rfam's summary of the family: 7SK was discovered as an abundant small nuclear RNA in the mid-70s but a possible function has only recently been suggested. Two independent studies have found that 7SK RNA binds the CDK9/cyclin T complex (known as elongation factor P-TEFb). P-TEFb activates transcription by phosphorylating the C-terminal domain of RNA polymerase II. Lineage: Eukaryota; Metazoa; Chordata; Mammalia; Artiodactyla; Delphinidae. The record is from Rfam by way of RNAcentral.